UGCCUUUCUUAAAAUUCUUCAACAGUUUUCCAUAGUGGAGCUUGCCUGUCUUUGUAGCCUCAGCCCACAUUGCCCUUCCUCCUACUCACAGAUCCAGCUAUGUUGAUUGAUAUACAUUCCCCAAAUGGACUGUGCUCUUGAACACCUCCCUGCAUUCCCUUGCACUGUCUUUAUCUGGCUAAUUCCUGUUCCCUACCUCUUCUUCUAAUAAGCCAUCCUUGGUGCUGUGUGCUCCUGUAGCUCCUACCCAUACCUCUGCCAGUGCGUAAUUGUAAUUGUCUCUUGUCUG
RNAcentral lists this long non-coding RNA (289 nucleotides) under Homo sapiens (human). RNAcentral's name for it is "HSALNT0248872". Lineage: Eukaryota; Metazoa; Chordata; Mammalia; Primates; Hominidae. The record is from RNAcentral.